CAGCCGCCGCGGGAAUACGAAGGGUGCAAGCGUUACUCGGAAUUACUGGGCGAAAAGCGUGCGUAGGUGGUGGUUUAAGUCCGUUGUGAAAGCCCUGGGCUCAACCUGGGAAUUGCAGUGGAUACUGGGUCACUAGAGUGUGGUAGAGGAUAGUGGAAUUUCCGGUGUAGCAGUGAAAUGCGUAGAGAUCGGAAGGAACAUCUGUGGCGAAGGCGACUAUCUGGGCCAACACUGACACUGAGGCACGAAAGCGUGGGGAGCAAACAGGAUUAGAUACCCCGUAGUCCCUGUCUCUUAUACA
Molecule: ribosomal RNA, 301 nt
Filed under: uncultured bacterium
Lineage: Bacteria
Description: partial 16S ribosomal RNA
Rfam family: Bacterial small subunit ribosomal RNA
Source: RNAcentral